CGACAAACCACACAACACGCAAAGAAGCAUCCUCUUCACAUUACAACCAAAUCUGAUAUUCGAAACCAAACCCGGAUGCGCUCGUUCACAGAACUCUCAGAACUAUCGCCGUGAAACCCAAAGUGGGGACGUCCACGCUCUUAUUUGCCAGGUUUCACCGUGGCGAGAGAGACAGAAAAGACGAGACGGCUGGAAGGGAACUCUCCUUGUGCAACCUUAAGGCUGCAGCCUUAAUGCCUUGAGUCACCACACGGCCGCUUGGUUCCGGUUAGUGUCCUCACUGUGGCAGGGAUGUUAGCCAGACGAAGGGGCUUUGCUGGUGACUCACCUGAUUCAAGGCCAUCUGCCCGGGGGAGGAGGGGGGGAGACCACAAAAAGACCACAACACACAACACCCGCAGAUGAAUAGAUAUAUCACCUCGCAGAUCCAGUUACGACGAGUCAACAAUGGACACAAAAGGCUCAAUGUACACGCCGGAUCAAAAAGAGCCUUCAGAUAAUGGGUCCAGAACGCUGCAGGUCUGCCCAGAACCUCUGUGGGCGAGGACAAUGCCGGCAUGGAUCUGGAUACGGUGACGUCUCCUAUUGCUCCCCGUCCCCACUCCCAAGAAGAAAAAUCCCCAUUUGAGACAAAGACGUUUGUCAAGGUCCCGUCACAGGAAAAGGGGGAUUUGAAGAUUUUCAAAAGCAGAGGCUGACAGUUCAGAUGUGGUGGAGCCUUUGCCUGGUGACACAUGGAGAUAAUAACCGUGGCAGUGACUCAAGAGUCAAAUACCAACAUUUUUCACAAAGCCAUGGUGGAAGAAGUCAUACAUUGUCACUUUAAUCACCUUCUAAACCUCGGGUAUGUCGUUUUUUUGUGGAGAAGAAAAGUCUCCACUGCUGUGGAAGACGACCGGCAAGC
Molecule: long non-coding RNA, 904 nt
Organism: Gasterosteus aculeatus aculeatus (three-spined stickleback)
Lineage: Eukaryota; Metazoa; Chordata; Actinopteri; Perciformes; Gasterosteidae
Source: Ensembl